CAAUAGACACGGGGAGAAGCUCGUAGUCCCCAUUGAGAUCCAAACCAUAAGGCCUAGCCUUCUGCUGCCACAGAAUCACAGCAAGAAGAAGUACUUCCGCUACAGAACAUAAGAGCGCUGUAGGAGCCACGACAGCAACCUCUACAACCAGCAGAUGAACAACCAACCUGACAAAAAGACCAGCCGCUAAAAUCAACCGAGGCAUUAACAAUGGCUAGGCUCAGACUAAAGCGGUAGUGCGCAGGGUCCGAGGUAUUUAAGGUCCCUAGCAGGAAUACCGCCAAAGCCGCUGACUCUAAAACGUCGUAGGCGAUCUCCUCAUCCAGGUCUCCUAAGCUCGUCUAGACGGAACGGGCUAGGAACCCCCUCUAAUACCGGCACUAUUUCCACGCUCACUCGUUUGAGGCGCUCCGUUUCUCACAACUCCUGUCGUCCGUGUUCUCACGGUCAGCGCUCGGUUUCCUUCCGGUCUCGUCGUUGGGUUUCUCCCGGUUACCGCUCCGUGGUCAACUCGGAGUCGUCUCCCUUCAAACACGUAAAACGCUGCUACCACCACUUAAUUAGACGACACUACCACCUACAGACUCUAGGAAGGUGGGUUGGUUUCUUGUACCACUUUCUAGAUACACGUGUUCGGAACCCGAUUUACUUCGUUUCACCGUUUUCGUAUUUCGUGAUCCCCUUUUCCCCAAUAUAAAGACGCUCUUGACGUUCGUAUUCGUCGUAGUUACAAAACGAACACCUAAUAACCCCAGAAGUUUGAAUUGUCGUCCAGGACUCCAUAAGGUUACAUUCCUCGUUUUCACACCCGUGAAAAUGGUGGGCCCUACACAACGAUUUUAUGAGAUGGGACUAUUGUUUCGGUUCCGUUGUACAAAACUCGUUACACAACGACCACCUGACCUUAAGUCAACAGGGCACGUAUUUACAUUCGCCACAUUCCUUCGUCUCUUGUUCGUACUGUUCCUUUACGUUAAGCGUCAUACGUCCGCGACAGGUUGACAUAUGGUGGCCUUCACGAACGGUUCCCUAUAAAGGAACUAUCUCCUGCUCCUUCUCCGAUGAGGCGUUUCCCGUACCCUACCGUAAGAUGGACUAGUUUAAAAUUAGAUGACGUCCUUCGUACUCUAAGUUCUUCUCGAUCCUUGAGGGUUCUCCCUGGUAUAACAGAAAGGUCUACACUCUUUAGGACCACGUCGUCUUUCCGUAUCUCCACGUAGAGUCCCCGUGCUAUAUGGGCUGCUUCUGCUCGAUGAACUGGCGGAUCGCAGGACGUUAGGUAGAGUCAGGGGACUCGGCCGUCUUUGUCCGGCGCCAUCCCACUUCGGGUAGCUAAGAAAGCGCGGCUUCGUGAACAAGGGCGUAGGUGUCGGUCCGAGGACGCCAACCGAACUACUGACUACUAGGUAAGGAACAGAGGGUGGAACGGCACAUCUCUUUGGUAGCCAAUGUCCGAGGGAGAAUAUGUAAAGUACAGUAGAGCUCUUCUUGUUUUCCUUUACAAUACAUCGGGAAACAAUUCAAACUAUGCAUACAGUAAAGGUGAUAAAUCAACCAUGACAUAUUGUACUGUUACGCGGUUUAUUUGUAAGCCAAAUGUUCCUUUGGGCGAGAUAUAUAGGACUCCAAGACGGAGACAAAAAAGAC
This 1647-nucleotide ribosomal RNA is filed under the name Triticum aestivum (bread wheat). Its description in RNAcentral is "partial small subunit ribosomal RNA". The record is from RNAcentral. Lineage: Eukaryota; Viridiplantae; Streptophyta; Magnoliopsida; Poales; Poaceae.